UGGAUAGUUCCAGAAAUGGAACCCUCCUAUUUAGCCACAGAACAGAUAUAGCAUGGGUAGUGGCAGUACAAGCUUCCUUUGAUGGUACUAGGAAUGUGCCUCUAAUCCACUCUGGAGCUACCAUCAACAGGGUGGAGACAGGCCUGGUUCAGCCUCCAGAGCCCAUUUAAUCCUCAGCCUCU
Unclassified non-coding RNA from Chelonoidis abingdonii (Abingdon island giant tortoise), 182 nucleotides. The record is from Ensembl. Lineage: Eukaryota; Metazoa; Chordata; Testudines; Testudinidae.